Non-coding RNA from Podarcis lilfordi (Lilford's wall lizard), 76 nucleotides. Lineage: Eukaryota; Metazoa; Chordata; Lepidosauria; Squamata; Lacertidae. The record is from the annotation of a GenBank genome assembly.
GCAAUAGCUCAGUUGGUUAGAGUGUGGUCUGAUAAUGCCAAGGUCUGAGGUUUGAUUCCCAAAUGGGACAGCUGCA